GCCACGGGGCUCUGUCUCGAAUAUCUCUGGCAGGAAAAGACAGGGUGCUCUUUGUGCAUCCAACUGAGAAAUGGAGGCCCUGAAGAGUUCCGGGUCCUCCCCGCCAUCAUGAAGCCCGACCCCAGGUGAACUGCCAUGCCACCGAAUCCCCCUGUGGACUCUGGACUCACCAGCCCCCAGCAGCAGGGCCAACAGCGGGAGCAGCACUGUGGAGGUGGGUACCCGGCGCAGCAUGGUGGGAAGUCGGGACCUGGGACCUCUCCGCUGAGUGGACAGCCAGUGCCAGAGCCUUAUAACCCAGGUGCAGUGGCCCCAGCAGGGGGAGGAAAUGACAUCAGCACCAACCCCUCCCCAGCUUAGGAGAGAGGACAGCUGUGGGGCGCUCCAGGACCCUCAAUUAUUCAUGGGAACCCACACUCAAGCAUGCUCCCCUCCGGGCUUCUGGCCCAGGAGCACGGGGUGGGGUGUGGGGGAAGGCUCUCCCCAGACUCACAUGGGAACUGGGCAACUCUCCUUUUCUCAGCUUUCCUCAUCUGGAAAGUGGAUCCUCCUGAAUCUAUUUCCUCGGAGGUGCGAGCUCCUUCUGGCCAAGUCCCCGCUCCACCAUCCACCAGCUGUGCAGUGCUGGGACAAUUGCUUAAGCUUUGUUAUAUUUAGGAAAGUUUCGGUGACAGCCUACUCCAGAGCUCUUGGGUGAGAAUGAAAUGUGAGGGUGCUUGGGCAGUGCCCUGCACUGGGAACUUCACGGGGCUACACGGCACCCCGUACCGUGCGUGUGACGUACACACUUGUGGAGGCUGGUGUCUUCCUGCUGCUCCCCACUUUAUUUUCUGAGAUGGUCUCUUACUGAACCUGGAGCUAGGAUAGGCCAGUUGGCCAGCAAGCUCCUGAGAUCCAACUGUCUGUCCACUUAGUGCUUGGGUUACAAGAGCACAUGGCUUCUGUGGCUUCCAAGGAUCCGAACUCAGGUUGUCACGAUAGCGUAGCACUUUUCACAUGAAGCCCUAACCAACCACCAGGUAACAUUUUCCCUUGCUUUUCUUUCUUUUUUCUUUUUGGGAAGACAGGGUCUUGCUAUGUAGCUCAGGCUGGCCUCAAAUUUGUGGCAAUCCUCCUGUCUUCGCCUCUAAAAUGCAGGGCUUACAAGUGUGAACCACCACAGAUAAUGUCCAGUAAUCUAUUUUUGUUUCUUUGAGACCGGGUCUUGCUAGAGACAGCCUGCACUAGCCGUGAAAUCCUUUAUUUGAAAUUGCCGUUACGUGCGUGGCAGUGGGUAAGUACACACUUGAGUGCCUGUGGCCAGGGAGUCCUUUGAAAGAGCAGCCAGUGAGCGCUCUUAACGGCGGAGCCAUCUCUUCAGGUUUUUGUUUGUUUUUCGAGACAGGGUCUCUCUGUGUAGCCCUGGCUGUCCUGGAACUCACUUUGUAGACCAGGCUGGCCUCGAA
Molecule: long non-coding RNA, 1445 nt
Organism: Peromyscus californicus insignis
Lineage: Eukaryota; Metazoa; Chordata; Mammalia; Rodentia; Cricetidae
Exons: 2
Source: RefSeq, a predicted model, not a curated record